RNAcentral lists this ribosomal RNA (274 nucleotides) under uncultured bacterium. RNAcentral's name for it is "partial 16S ribosomal RNA". It matches the Rfam family "Bacterial small subunit ribosomal RNA", at positions 523 to 796 of the family's 1533-position model. The record is from RNAcentral.
AUACGGAGGGUCCAAGCGUUAUCCGGAAUCAUUGGGUUUAAAGGGUUCGUAGGCGGGUCAAUAAGUCAGAGGUGAAAUCUUGCAGCUUAACUGUAAAAUUGCCUUUGAUACUGUUGACCUUGAAUUACUGUGAAGUGGUUAGAAUAUGUAGUGUAGCGGUGAAAUGCUUAGAGAUUACAUAGAAUACCGAUUGCGAAGGCAGAUCACUAACAGUAUAUUGACGCUGAUGAACGAAAGCGUGGGUAGCGCACGGGAUUAGAAACCCUAGUAGUCC